CUACGGAGGGUGCAAGCGUUACUCGGAAUCACUGGGCGUAAAGCGCGCGCAGGCGGCUAUUUAAGUUGGAUGUGAAAGCCUACGGCUCAACCGUAGAACUGCAUCCAAAACUAUUUAGCUAGAGUGUGGGAGAGGAAGAUGGAAUUAGUUGUGUAGGGGUAAAAUCCGUAGAGAUAACUAGGAAUACCAAAAGCGAAGGCAAUCUUCUGGAACACUACUGACGCUGAGGCGCGAAAGCGUGGGGAGCAAACGGGAUUAGAUACCCUUGUAGUCC
This 274-nucleotide ribosomal RNA is filed under the name uncultured bacterium. RNAcentral describes it as "partial 16S ribosomal RNA". It matches the Rfam family "Bacterial small subunit ribosomal RNA", at positions 523 to 796 of the family's 1533-position model. The record is from RNAcentral.